Molecule: small RNA, 125 nt
Filed under: Marmota monax (woodchuck)
Lineage: Eukaryota; Metazoa; Chordata; Mammalia; Rodentia; Sciuridae
Source: RNAcentral
GCCAGGUGUGGUGGUGCACACCUAUAAUCCCAGCUGCUUGGGAGGCUGAGGCAGGAGGAUCACGAGUUCAAAGCCAUCCUCAGCAAAAGUGAGGCACUAAGCAACUCAGUGAGACCCUGUCUCUA